GGUAGUAAAGCUCUUUCGCAAGGGAAGAAACGAUACAGUCUAAUAAACUGUGUAAUGACGGUACCUUGAUAAGAAGCACCGGCUAACUACGUGCCAGCAGCCGCGGUAAUACGUAGGGUGCGAGCGUUAAUCGGAAUUACUGGGCGUAAAGCGUGCGCAGGCGGUUUUGAAAGUCAGAUGUGAAAUCCCCGGGCUCAACCUGGGAACUGCGUUUGAAACUCCAAAGCUAGAGUAUGGGAGAGGGGGGUAGAAUUCCACGUGUAGCAGUGAAAUGCGUAGAGAUGUGGAGGAAUACCAAUGGCGAAGGCAGCCCCCUGGCUUAAUACUGACGCUCAUGCACGAAAGCGUGGGGAGCAAACAGGAUUAGAUACCCUGGUAGUCCACGCCCUAAACGAUGUCUACUAGUUGUUGGGAGAGUAAAAUCUCUUAGUAACGCAGCUAACGCGUGAAGUAGACCGACUGGGGAGUACGGUCGCAAGAUUAAAACUCAAAGGAAUUGACGGGGGCCCGGACAAGCGGCGGAUUAUGUGGAUUCAUUCG
RNAcentral lists this ribosomal RNA (540 nucleotides) under uncultured archaeon. Its description in RNAcentral is "bacterial SSU rRNA". It matches the Rfam family "Bacterial small subunit ribosomal RNA", at positions 421 to 953 of the family's 1533-position model. The record is from RNAcentral.